This 442-nucleotide ribosomal RNA is filed under the name uncultured bacterium. RNAcentral's name for it is "partial 16S ribosomal RNA". It matches the Rfam family "Bacterial small subunit ribosomal RNA", at positions 338 to 795 of the family's 1533-position model. The record is from RNAcentral.
CCUACGGGAGGCUGCAGUGGGGGAUAUUGCACAAUGGGGGAAACCCUGAUGCAGCGACGCCGCGUGGGCGAAGAAGUAUUUCGGUAUGUAAAGCCCUAUCAGCAGGGAAGAAGAACUGACGGUACGUGGGGAAGCAGCAACGGCUAAAGAGGAGACAGCAGCCGCGGUAAUAGGUAUGGUGCAAGGGUUAUCCGGAUGUACUGGGGGUAAAGGGAGCGCAGGCGGCACUGGAAGCCUUAUGCGAAAGCCCGCGGCCCCACCGCGGGACUGCAUUGGGAACUACCGGGCUGGAGUGCCGGAGAGGUAGGCGGAAUUCCUAGUGUAGCGGUGAAAUGCGUAGAUAUUAGGCGGAACACCAGUGGCGAAGGCGGCCUACUGGACUGUGCCUGACGCUGAGGCUCGAAAGCGUGGGGAUCAAACAGGAUUAGAUACCCUAGUAGUC